Molecule: ribosomal RNA, 348 nt
Filed under: uncultured bacterium
Lineage: Bacteria
Description: bacterial SSU rRNA
Rfam family: Bacterial small subunit ribosomal RNA
Source: RNAcentral
UCAGGCCUAACACAUGCAAGUCGAGGGGCAGCAUAAAACAAGCUUGCUUGUUUGGUGGCGAAAGGCGCACGGGUGCGUAACGCGUAUGCAACCUACCUUAUACAGGGGUAUAGCCCGGAGAAAUUCGGAUUAAUCCCCCAUAGUACUGAGCCACCGCAUGGUGAAUCAGUUAAAGUUUCGGCGGUAUAAGAUGGGCAUGCGUCCUAUUAGCUAGAUGGUAAGGUAACGGCUUACCAUGGCUACGAUAGGUAGGGGGCCUGAGAGGGUGGUCCCCCACACUGGUGAUGAGACACGCCCCAGACUCCUACGGGAGGCAGCAGUGAGGAAUAUUGGUCAAUGGGCGCAAGC